This 29-nucleotide non-coding RNA is filed under the name Mus musculus (house mouse). The record is from RNAcentral. Lineage: Eukaryota; Metazoa; Chordata; Mammalia; Rodentia; Muridae.
GCUGAUGUUAGGAUGGUGUAGUGAACAAG